CUGAACCCGGGGAGUCUUCACAUGUAGAUGGAUGGAUAGGUCUGAUUUUUCCAACUGAAGCACACUUGCAAGGGUCAGCACAAAGCCAGAAACCCAGUAGGUUCUGCCAGCCGCAGCAGCCUGUGCCCAGCAGGAGACCUGGUUUUGGGCCUGGGGUGACUUUUGUUUACACUGUUGUCUUACUUGGCUGGGAGCUCUCCCUGGGAGAGUGAAGAACUGAUGCAGAGAAAUGGCCGAGUGCGGGAGAAAUGGGUUUCCACCAAAGCGAUUUACCCAAUUUUCUUUUUCUGUAUAUCCUUAUACAUUUUAAAGGCAGAUUUAUUGCUAGUAAAAGUGCUGGCUGGACAAAGCGCUCUCAUGCUGUGCGUUUGCUUUUUCUUCUCUUGAAUGUUUUUAAACCUCUCUAGGUGUUUUGUCUUUUUGACAUAGACUGGCAGAGAAACCUAGGCAUCCUGGAUUCCCGGUUCACUGCUGUAGGGGCUUUGCCGGCUUGCUGGCUGCCCAGCCUGGCCAACUCCAGCCCUGCAGGGCCCACUCAGCGGGCGUACAGCACCAGAUGGAGAGAGGGAAGGCAGACCCAGCAAGAAUCCUCACGAAGAGGAGCUAGCAGCCCCGGGAAGAGAAAGAUCGUGCAGGACCAGUUGGACAAGAGCCCAGCUCUGAGUAACUCCCUGCAUUCAGGGAAAAUAAAAUCACAAAUGAGAACAGCAGGGGGCCAAGGACCAGCUGGAGACAAAGGGGUGUUGUUAGCUUCGGGGUGGGGGCUGUGAGACAAGCAAGGCUCUAGUGAGAUGUUCCAAAGUCUGGCCUGCCAUGGACAGCUGCCACCCGAGCUGCAGGCCUGGAAUGUUGUCACAAGCUCAGCGAGCCAUGCUGUCUGCCUCAGCCCAGGACCCGGAAAGACUGAUGAGACAAGAAAGGCCUUGGGCUUCCUCUUGCCUCCUGCAUCUUUAGCCUUCCCUGAACUGCCCUGGCAACUUAGCAGUUUUUCCUCUGGAAUGUUAGAAGAGUCACUCCCAGGACCUAUAAGAGGAAGUGAACCCAGGCGGCUUAAGGUAUAGUCUGUGGUGAGAACUAUAAUAUGCCUCCAGAUUCCUCUUUACUAAUUAAGGACAUACUCCCCCAGCUUCUAGAAGUACUGAUGAAAGACAGUCUUCAGCUGUAAACUUCUCCUGAGAGAUUGCCUUUACUAAAAAACUGUCUCACCUCAAAUCACACUUCUUUCAGGGAAGUCCACAUCUGGUGACUGAUCAUCCAGAGGUUAUAAAGUCCUGGCACCCUUACCUUAACUGGGCAAACUCUAAAGGACCAUCCCAGCUCCAGAGCUCUUCAUGUGGUCAUCUUAGGUCUCUGUUGAGACUGCAUCACAGCUCAACUUCUCCCUCUGCCCAAUUGUGGUUGUUUUUUUUUUCCUUUUCUUCUACAGGUUUUGAUCCCAGGAGUGCCACCUAAUAAACAUCUUACCUGUUAAUCACUAUCUCAUGGUUGCCUCUCAGAGAACUUAAGCUGUAUCAAACAUUAUAUACUGAUACUAUAACUGAAACCAUAACUAUCAUGAAUUUAUAUAUAUACAUUGUCUUACUCUUCUCAUGCUGCUAAUAAAGACAUACCCUAGACUGGGUAAUUUAUAAAGGAAAGAGGUUUAAUUGACUCACACAGUUCUACAUGGCUAGGGAGGUCUCACAAUCACGGCAGAAGCUGAUGGAGAAGCAAAGUCAUGUCUUACAUGGCAGCAGUCAAGAGAACUUGUGCAGGGGACCGCCCGUUUAUAAAACCAUCAGAUCAUGAGAUGUAUUCACUACCAUGAGAACAGUAUGGGGGAAACUCCCCCCAUGGUUCAAUUAUCUCUCCCUGGCCCUGCCCUUGACAUGUGGAGACUAUUACAAUUCAAGAUGAGAUUUGGGCGGGGACACAGCCAAACCAUUUAUAAAUUUAUAAAAUAAAUGCUGAUAGAAUUACAUGAAGGAAUUUAGAAGUAUACAAUACUUGUGUAAAGAUUUUAACACCUAUUUUAGAAACUGAUAGAUCAGGAAGUCAAUAUUAGUAAAGAUGCUAAAGAUUUGAAUAAAAUAGCUAUUUUCUCUCAGGUAAUGUAAUGUAACAUACCAUGAUACAACAUAACUGUAUUCUUAUGUAAGGAGUGAGGAGCACAUAUGUUUUUUUAAAUAUACGUGUAUCAUUUUAAAAAGCUGGUCAUGUGUUAGUUUAUAAAAGGUCUCAAAAAUAUCCAAAUAAUUGAUAUCAUAUAGAACAUUUCAUCUUACCAAAGUAUAAGACACAGUAAAAUAGAAUUAAUACAGUUGGGCCUUCACAAACCUGUAUUAGAAAAAUAAUGAUCUAUAACAAAAAUUAAUUAGUAAUCAAAAAUUCUCCCUUAAAAGGCACCAAUCCCACAUAAUUUUAUAGAGAAGUUUUUACCACAAAUCAGAAGCUCAUAAUUCCUUUCUGAUACAGUCUCUUUCAGCAAAUGAACAAAGAGAGUAAACUACCUAUUAUUUGAUACCAAAUUAGGCACAGGAAAUAUAAGAAAUGAGAUAUAUUGUCCAAUCACACUAUAGCAUAGUUGAACAAAUUAUAACAAACCCAGAAUUGGAUUGAUAGUACAUCAGGAUAAAACAGAUUAUCCCAAGUAUGCAAAGAUAUGUCAACAUUUAAAAGAUCUAUAAAUCUUCAUUCAACACAUUAACAAAAAAAGACAAAAACAUGUGAGCAUCUCAAUGAAUGUAGAAAAAUAUUUUAUAAGGUCAAUAUUCAUUCACAAAUUAAGGAAAAGACCAGUACAUAAGAAAAAAACUUCCUUAACCUUAUAAAGAGCAUCUAUCCCAAACCCACAGAAAAUGCCAUACUUUAUGGUCAGAUUUUAGAAGCAUUCACAUUAAACUCAAGACAAGAAAUUAUUCACUAAAACCACUUCUAUGUAGCAAUUACUGGAAAUUUUAACCCAUUCAAAAAUGCAAUAAAAAGAAAUAAGUGAUAUAAUUAUUUGCAAAAAAGAAGCACAAUUGUUAUUUGCAGAUGGUAUCAUUGUUUGCAUAUAAAAUGCAAAAAGAAUUCACAGACUAACUAUUUAGAAUUUAAAAAGUUCAGGAAGAAUGCCAGAAAUAAGAUCAACAUACAAAAAUAAUUAGUGAGGUUUUAUUUAACAAUAAUUGGAAAAUAGAAAACGUUAUUUUUUAAAGAUCUCAUUCACAAUUGCAUUCAAAUUUACACAGUGCCUAGGGCAAAAAUAAUCUAACAAAUAGUAUUUAAUACUUUUAUAAAGAAAAUUACACAACUAUACAAGGUCAAAAAGGAGCUUGGUUAU
This is a long non-coding RNA of Papio anubis (olive baboon), 3304 nucleotides long. Lineage: Eukaryota; Metazoa; Chordata; Mammalia; Primates; Cercopithecidae. The record is from Ensembl.